This 506-nucleotide ribosomal RNA is filed under the name uncultured bacterium. RNAcentral's name for it is "partial 16S ribosomal RNA". It matches the Rfam family "Bacterial small subunit ribosomal RNA", at positions 29 to 523 of the family's 1533-position model. The record is from RNAcentral.
AGUGAACGCUGGCGGUAGGCCUAACACAUGCAAGUCGAACGGCAACACAGGAGAGCUUGCUCUCUGGGUGGCGAGUGGCGGACGGGUGAGGAAUACAUCGGAAUCUACUUUUUCGUGGGGGAUAACGUAGGGAAACUUACGCUAAUACCGCAUACGACCUACGGGUGAAAGCAGGGGAUCUUCGGACCUUGCGCGAUUGAAUGAGCCGAUGUCGGAUUAGCUAGUCGGCGGGGUAAAGGCCCACCAAGGCGACGAUCCGUAGCUGGUCUGAGAGGAUGAUCAGCCACACUGGAACUGAGACACGGUCCAGACUCCUACGGGAGGCAGCAGUGGGGAAUAUUGGACAAUGGGCGCAAGCCUGAUCCAGCCAUACCGCGUGGGUGAAGAAGGCCUUCGGGUUGUAAAGCCCUUUUGUUGGGAAAGAAAUCCAGCUGGUUAAUACCCGGUUGGGAUGACGGUACCCAAAGAAUAAGCACCGGCUAACUUCGUGCCAGCAGCCGCGGUAA